AGAUUGUGCUUCUUACAUACACAGAGUUGGCCGCACUGCUCGUUACCUUUCAGGCGGAAGAUCUGUUUUAUUCGUGAUGCCAUCUGAAAUGAAGAUGCUUGAAAAGUUGGAAGAGAAAAAGAUUCCCCUUCGAGUUAUCAAGGCAAAUGAAAAGAGGAUACAGUCUGUCUCGGGUAUACUUGCUUCUUUAUUGGUCAAGUACCCUGAUCUACAACAUCUGGCUCAAAGGGCUUUCAUAACAUAUUUGAAGUCCAUACACAAACAGAGAGAUAAGGAGAUUUUUGAUGUUACAAAACUUCCUAUUGAUGAAUUCUCUGCUUCAUUGGGUCUUCCUAUGACCCCAAAGAUCCGAUUUCUGAAACAGAAACUCAAAGGGAAGACAGUGUCUGAAGCAUUAUCUCUCAUACCAGAGAACACAAGCGAUGAUAAUUUGUUGGAAUUUCCAAUUAAGGAUCCAGAAUUUCCUAUUAAGGAUCCAGAUGCAGGCAAAUCAGAUAUAGAGGAAGUGGAUGAAGACAUCUUUCUAGCUAAGGAGACACAAGAACGCGGAGAAAAUAUUAACAGCAAAGGAGAUGAUAUGCUGGCCACU
RNAcentral lists this unclassified non-coding RNA (589 nucleotides) under Hevea brasiliensis (rubber tree). The record is from RNAcentral. Lineage: Eukaryota; Viridiplantae; Streptophyta; Magnoliopsida; Malpighiales; Euphorbiaceae.